AAGACUAUAGACCUGCGGAGUACCUGCGGAAGGAUCAUUAUAGAGUGGUAAACCCCCCGUAAAAGGGGGGGACCUCCUGUCCUUUGUAGGCUCUUUUUUAAAAGGGCUUUUUUUAAUUUUCUGCUUCGGUGGGGUUAUCCCACCGGAACAACCUCAAAACUCUUAUCAAAAAAUCGUUCUGUCUGAGAACCUUUUAUAAUAAAAAAAAACUUUUAACAAUGGAUCUCUAGAUCGGAAGAG
RNAcentral lists this unclassified non-coding RNA (240 nucleotides) under soil metagenome. RNAcentral describes it as "partial contains 5.8S ribosomal RNA, internal transcribed spacer 2, and large subunit ribosomal RNA". The record is from RNAcentral.